RNAcentral lists this ribosomal RNA (530 nucleotides) under uncultured bacterium. RNAcentral's name for it is "bacterial SSU rRNA". It matches the Rfam family "Bacterial small subunit ribosomal RNA", at positions 355 to 896 of the family's 1533-position model. The record is from RNAcentral.
UGGGGAAUAUGGCUAAUGGGCGGAAGCCUGAUGCAGCAACGCCGCGUGCGGGANNACGGCCUUCGGGUUGUAAACCGCUUUCGCCUGUGACGAAGCGUGAGUGACGGUAAUGGGUAAAGAAGCACCGGCUAACUACGUGCCAGCAGCCGCGGUGAUACGUAGGGUGCGAGCGUUGUCCGGAUUUAUUGGGCGUAAAGGGCUCGUAGGUGGUUGAUCGCGUCGGAAGUGUAAUCUUGGGGCUUAACCCUGAGCGUGCUUUCGAUACGGGUUGACUUGAGGAAGGUAGGGGAGAAUGGAAUUCCUGGUGGAGCGGUGGAAUGCGCAGAUAUCAGGAGGAACACCAGUGGCGAAGGCGGUUCUCUGGGCCUUUCCUGACGCUGAGGAGCGAAAGCGUGGGGAGCGAACAGGCUUAGAUACCCUGGUAGUCCACGCUGUAAACGGUGGGUACUAGGUGUGGGGUCCAUUCCACGGGUUCCGUGCCGUAGCUAACGCUUUAAGUACCCCGCCUGGGGAGUACGGCCGCAAGGCUA